CCCUUAGAUGUCCUGGGCCGCACGCGCGUUACACUGAUGCAUUCAACGAGCUUAUAACCUUGGCCGAGAGGCCUGGGCAAUCUUGUUAACGUGCAUCGUGAUAGGGAUAGAUUAUUGAAAUUAUUAAUCUUGAACGAGGAAUUCCUAGUAAACGCAGAUCAUCAAUCUGCAUUGAUUACGUCCCUGCCCUUUGUACACACCGCCCGUCGCACCUACCGAUUGGAUGGUCCGGUGAAGCCUCGGGAUUGUGGUUCUUGCCGCUUUAUUGUGGCGUGACCGCGAGAACUUGUCUAAACCUUAUCAUCUAGAGGAAGGUGAAGGCGGAACA
RNAcentral lists this ribosomal RNA (328 nucleotides) under uncultured eukaryote. Its description in RNAcentral is "partial 18S ribosomal RNA". It matches the Rfam family "Eukaryotic small subunit ribosomal RNA", at positions 1470 to 1796 of the family's 1831-position model. The record is from RNAcentral.